RNAcentral lists this ribosomal RNA (1554 nucleotides) under Escherichia coli. RNAcentral describes it as "bacterial SSU rRNA". It matches the Rfam family "Bacterial small subunit ribosomal RNA". RNAcentral also lists the same sequence under 4 other names. Lineage: Bacteria; Pseudomonadati; Pseudomonadota; Gammaproteobacteria; Enterobacterales; Enterobacteriaceae. The record is from RNAcentral.
AAAUUGAAGAGUUUGAUCAUGGCUCAGAUUGAACGCUGGCGGCAGGCCUAACACAUGCAAGUCGAACGGUAACAGGAAACAGCUUGCUGUUUCGCUGACGAGUGGCGGACGGGUGAGUAAUGUCUGGGAAACUGCCUGAUGGAGGGGGAUAACUACUGGAAACGGUAGCUAAUACCGCAUAAUGUCGCAAGACCAAAGAGGGGGACCUUCGGGCCUCUUGCCAUCGGAUGUGCCCAGAUGGGAUUAGCUAGUAGGUGGGGUAACGGCUCACCUAGGCGACGAUCCCUAGCUGGUCUGAGAGGAUGACCAGCCACACUGGAACUGAGACACGGUCCAGACUCCUACGGGAGGCAGCAGUGGGGAAUAUUGCACAAUGGGCGCAAGCCUGAUGCAGCCAUGCCGCGUGUAUGAAGAAGGCCUUCGGGUUGUAAAGUACUUUCAGCGGGGAGGAAGGGAGUAAAGUUAAUACCUUUGCUCAUUGACGUUACCCGCAGAAGAAGCACCGGCUAACUCCGUGCCAGCAGCCGCGGUAAUACGGAGGGUGCAAGCGUUAAUCGGAAUUACUGGGCGUAAAGCGCACGCAGGCGGUUUGUUAAGUCAGAUGUGAAAUCCCCGGGCUCAACCUGGGAACUGCAUCUGAUACUGGCAAGCUUGAGUCUCGUAGAGGGGGGUAGAAUUCCAGGUGUAGCGGUGAAAUGCGUAGAGAUCUGGAGGAAUACCGGUGGCGAAGGCGGCCCCCUGGACGAAGACUGACGCUCAGGUGCGAAAGCGUGGGGAGCAAACAGGAUUAGAUACCCUGGUAGUCCACGCCGUAAACGAUGUCGACUUGGAGGUUGUGCCCUUGAGGCGUGGCUUCCGGAGCUAACGCGUUAAGUCGACCGCCUGGGGAGUACGGCCGCAAGGUUAAAACUCAAAUGAAUUGACGGGGGCCCGCACAAGCGGUGGAGCAUGUGGUUUAAUUCGAUGCAACGCGAAGAACCUUACCUGGUCUUGACAUCCACAGAACUUUCCAGAGAUGGAUUGGUGCCUUCGGGAACUGUGAGACAGGUGCUGCAUGGCUGUCGUCAGCUCGUGUUGUGAAAUGUUGGGUUAAGUCCCGCAACGAGCGCAACCCUUAUCCUUUGUUGCCAGCGGUCCGGCCGGGAACUCAAAGGAGACUGCCAGUGAUAAACUGGAGGAAGGUGGGGAUGACGUCAAGUCAUCAUGGCCCUUACGACCAGGGCUACACACGUGCUACAAUGGCGCAUACAAAGAGAAGCGACCUCGCGAGAGCAAGCGGACCUCAUAAAGUGCGUCGUAGUCCGGAUUGGAGUCUGCAACUCGACUCCAUGAAGUCGGAAUCGCUAGUAAUCGUGGAUCAGAAUGCCACGGUGAAUACGUUCCCGGGCCUUGUACACACCGCCCGUCACACCAUGGGAGUGGGUUGCAAAAGAAGUAGGUAGCUUAACCUUCGGGAGGGCGCUUACCACUUUGUGAUUCAUGACUGGGGUGAAGUCGUAACAAGGUAACCGUAGGGGAACCUGCGGUUGGAUCACCUCCUUACCUUAAAGAAGC